Molecule: long non-coding RNA, 209 nt
Organism: Macrobrachium nipponense
Lineage: Eukaryota; Metazoa; Arthropoda; Malacostraca; Decapoda; Palaemonidae
Exons: 3
Source: RefSeq, a predicted model, not a curated record
CCCUUUGAAUAGUGGACAGUGACCCAGAUGACCCUGAGCCUUUCCAUGGUUUUGAUGCCUCGCCCUAUACAUCAGAUGUAGAUGUUCCCUCAUCAGUUGAUACGAGUAUCACCUCUCCAGAGCCCAAAUCAGUUGAUACGAGUAGUAUCACCUCUCCCAUUCCUUCAGACUCCCAAGCACCUGCCCAUCCCACUCCAUAGCCCAGCCAC